Molecule: ribosomal RNA, 253 nt
Filed under: uncultured bacterium
Lineage: Bacteria
Description: partial 16S ribosomal RNA
Rfam family: Bacterial small subunit ribosomal RNA
Source: RNAcentral
UACGGAGGAUGCGAGCGUUGUCCGGAUUUACUGGGCGUAAAGGGAGCGUAGGCGGAUUUUUAAGUGAGAUGUGAAAUACUCGGGCUCAACUUGAGUGCUGCAUUUCAAACUGGAAGUCUAGAGUGCAGGAGAGGAGAAUGGAAUUCCUAGUGUAGCGGUGAAAUGCGUAGAGAUUAGGAAGAACACCAGUGGCGAAGGCGAUUCUCUGGACUGUAACUGACGCUGAGGCUCGAAAGCGUGGGGAGCAAACAGG